CCCUUAGAUGUUCUGGGCAGCACGCGCGCUACAAUGGUCUUCGCAAACGGAUGCAUUCUCGAAGGAGAAUGCCAAUCUUGGAAUCUAUGCCUUGGUCGGGACAGUUGCUUGCAAUUUUUCGACUCGAACCAGGAAUUCCUUGUAAUCGUGAUUCAUCACAUCACGAUGAAUACGUCCCUGCCCUUUGUACACACCGCCCGUCGCUCCUACCGAUCGAAGAGUUAGGUGAAUUGUUUUGAUCGCUAAGAUUUGACUAUGGUCAACUCUCGUUGUGAAAUUCUGUGAAUCUGACUGUUUAGAGGAAGGAAAAGUCGUAACA
This 319-nucleotide ribosomal RNA is filed under the name uncultured eukaryote. RNAcentral describes it as "partial 18S ribosomal RNA". It matches the Rfam family "Eukaryotic small subunit ribosomal RNA", at positions 1470 to 1796 of the family's 1831-position model. The record is from RNAcentral.